Molecule: non-coding RNA, 69 nt
Organism: Ostertagia ostertagi
Lineage: Eukaryota; Metazoa; Nematoda; Chromadorea; Rhabditida; Trichostrongylidae
Source: the annotation of a GenBank genome assembly
GCCUCUAUAGCUCAGUGGCAGAGCGUCUGUCUCGAACUAGAAGUCCGGUCCAAUCCCAGCAUGGAGGCU